UGACUCUGGUUUCUUCAUAACGCAUUACAAAAGUUCUUCGCCUUUACUAAAGACUUCCGUGGGAGAGGAACAAACAGUUAGAGUUGAAUAUAUUUUUGGCAGGCUUUUGUUGUAGGCUG
This is a small nuclear RNA of Hippoglossus stenolepis (Pacific halibut), 119 nucleotides long. RefSeq annotates it as U5 spliceosomal RNA. The transcript has a single exon. The record is from RefSeq and is a predicted model, not a curated record. NCBI's taxonomy places the organism in Eukaryota, Metazoa, Chordata, Actinopteri, Pleuronectiformes, Pleuronectidae.